Molecule: long non-coding RNA, 1814 nt
Organism: Oreochromis aureus
Lineage: Eukaryota; Metazoa; Chordata; Actinopteri; Cichliformes; Cichlidae
Source: Ensembl
AUGUUGCUAACGGUAACUAGCUUGAUGUACAAAAAAGACGGAAGAAAACGGUAAACUAUUGCUAACGGAGAAAAGGGAGAGAAAAACAUGGUUAAAUUGUACAAAAACGAAUGGUUUUAGCUACAGUCGACAGGGGAACAAGCUCUUACGUUGGUACGUUGUUUGAUACACGGCAAGGAAUAAUAAAGGUCAUUCAACAACCAUCAGUUCUGGCCUUGUCAGUUUGACUGGAUGCUACAGUAAGAGCUUGACCGCUGCCAUUUUGCUACACCACAAGGGCUCAAGGUUUAACGGCAAUUCCCACAACGUCCAGCAGAUGGCAGAAGCAGGUCAGAGAAUAAAACGGUGAAAGACAUAAGGAAAAUAAAGUUGAAAUGGAGGAUUCAGAAGAAGACAUUAAUGAACAGUUUGAAAACAAAGAACAAAUAUUAAAUGAGCUGCAAGAUAAAGCUCAAAGUGACUCCACGGUUCCAAGGCGUUCAGAAAGAGCCAAGGUGCCAACGGAAAAAAUGCUAACUUAUCAGAGGGAAGAGAUAAGUAAAAAAGAAAAAAGACUAUUAACUCUUUAUGAACAAUGGAAAAUACGAGUGCCAGAAACAAGAGAAAGAUUAAAGUUGGACAUUUCAGAGAAAGAAAUGGCAGAUCUUGCAGAUGAUGUAGAGCAAAGAAAAGAUGAACUGCUAAAGUUGUACACUGAAAUGAGAAGUCACAUUGCACCUUCAUCAGACAUACGAAGAAAAACCGAUGCAUGUGAAGCAGUUACUCAUGACAUCGUGAAAGUCAUCCUGGAAAGAAUAAGUGGUGUAGAUGGAGCUUUUGAUGCAGAAUAUGAAAGAAAACGUCUACGGAGACUAUUAGAACAUGAUUAUGCCCAAUCCAUCUAUGGUUCAACUGCAGCAUCGAAACGUAGCCAACUGUCUUCAGCCUCACAUCUUGCUUCAAAACGAGCAGAUGCAGCAGCAGAACUAGCAGCAAAGGAAGCAGAGUACAAGAUUGUACAAGAGGAACAAAGACAGAAGAAAUGGAUAAAGGCUCUAGAAGAGGAGCAUAAGAAACAAAUGGCAGUUCAAACAUCCGAGCUGGAACGCCUGAAAGCCAAAAGGGAGGUGGAAGCCGCUCGCGCCAGGUUGGACGUCUACAACAGAGAGUUAUCACAACUUGAUGAUGCAUAUUCAGUAAAGAUGGAAAAGGCUCGGGACCAGCACUCCUGCAGAAAGACAUCAACUCAGUGACUUGAGAUAUGACUGCACUAUGCUGUUGCUGGUGACUCCAGUUAAUUCUACAAGACAUGCUGUGACACCAGGAGAGAUGAGUCCUCCGUCACAGAUGGUGUGGUCAGUGAAGAUGGUCGCCUGCAGGUUCAAGCUCAUUGCAUCUCCAACCCACAUCCACUGCCACUGUACUUAAGGGAAGUUAAAGACUUUCUUCUGCACUUAUAUUUGGAUCACCUCGAUCCAUGAUAGUCAUUCAGGCAGUAAUGCCUGGACUGGAAACAAGCCAUCCUUAAAAUAAUACAACAUUCCAGCUCCUGUGUUGGAAUGAAAAACAAAUGUGUUGUUUAAAUUAGAGACUGCACUUGUGACAGAACAAUAAAUAUUUUAUUUUGAUUAUAUAAGUAAUGUAAGUACAACACAAACUUGUGGUAGGCCUAAACUUAUUUUCAGAAUAAUUACAUCUGAGACUUUGUUUCAUUGUAAGAUUAUAACAGUGAUGGCAAUAUAAUUGUUUGUUGUUCAGCAGAACAGUGUCCAGUAUGUUGGCUGUUAUACUUUGUUGUGUUUGAAAAUAAAAGUUGGGCUGAUUUUAACAUCGUU